This 406-nucleotide ribosomal RNA is filed under the name uncultured bacterium. RNAcentral describes it as "partial 16S ribosomal RNA". It matches the Rfam family "Bacterial small subunit ribosomal RNA", at positions 355 to 754 of the family's 1533-position model. The record is from RNAcentral.
UGGGGAAUAUUGCACAAUGGGCGCAAGCCUGAUGCAGCCAUGCCGCGUGUGUGAAGAAGGCCUUCGGGUUGUAAAGCACUUUCAGCGAGGAGGAAGGUGGUGAGCUUAAUACGCUCAUCAAUUGACGUUACUCGCAGAAGAAGCACCGGCUAACUCCGUGCCAGCAGCCGCGGUAAUACGGAGGGUGCAAGCGUUAAUCGGAAUUACUGGGCGUAAAGCGCACGCAGGCGGUUUGUUAAGUCAGAUGUGAAAUCCCCGGGCUCAACCUGGGAACUGCAUUUGAAACUGGCAAGCUAGAGUCUCGUAGAGGGGGGUAGAAUUCCAGGUGUAGCGGUGAAAUGCGUAGAGAUCUGGAGGAAUACCGGUGGCGAAGGCGGCCCCCUGGACGAAGACUGACGCUCAGUGC